AGAGUUUGAUCCUGGCUCAGGAUGAACGCUGGCGGCGUGCCUAAUACAUGCAAGUCGAGCGAACGGACGAGAAGCUUGCUUCUCUGAUGUUAGCGGCGGACGGGUGAGUAACACGUGGAUAACCUACCUAUAAGACUGGGAUAACUUCGGGAAACCGGAGCUAAUACCGGAUAAUAUUUUGAACCGCAUGGUUCAAAAGUGAAAGACGGUCUUGCUGUCACUUAUAGAUGGAUCCGCGCUGCAUUAGCUAGUUGGUAAGGUAACGGCUUACCAAGGCAACGAUGCAUAGCCGACCUGAGAGGGUGAUCGGCCACACUGGAACUGAGACACGGUCCAGACUCCUACGGGAGGCAGCAGUAGGGAAUCUUCCGCAAUGGGCGAAAGCCUGACGGAGCAACGCCGCGUGAGUGAUGAAGGUCUUCGGAUCGUAAAACUCUGUUAUUAGGGAAGAACAUAUGUGUAAGUAACUGUGCACAUCUUGACGGUACCUAAUCAGAAAGCCACGGCUAACUACGUGCCAGCAGCCGCGGUAAUACGUAGGUGGCAAGCGUUAUCCGGAAUUAUUGGGCGUAAAGCGCGCGUAGGCGGUUUUUUAAGUCUGAUGUGAAAGCCCACGGCUCAACCGUGGAGGGUCAUUGGAAACUGGAAAACUUGAGUGCAGAAGAGGAAAGUGGAAUUCCAUGUGUAGCGGUGAAAUGCGCAGAGAUAUGGAGGAACACCAGUGGCGAAGGCGACUUUCUGGUCUGUAACUGACGCUGAUGUGCGAAAGCGUGGGGAUCAAACAGGAUUAGAUACCCUGGUAGUCCACGCCGUAAACGAUGAGUGCUAAGUGUUAGGGGGGUUCCGCCCCUUAGUGCUGCAGCUAACGCAUUAAGCACUCCGCCUGGGGAGUACGACCGCAAGGUUGAAACUCAAAGGAAUUGACGGGGACCCGCACAAGCGGUGGAGCAUGUGGUUUAAUUCGAAGCAACGCGAAGAACCUUACCAAAUCUUGACAUCCUUUGACAACUCUAGAGAUAGAGCCUUCCCCUUCGGGGGACAAAGUGACAGGUGGUGCAUGGUUGUCGUCAGCUCGUGUCGUGAGAUGUUGGGUUAAGUCCCGCAACGAGCGCAACCCUUAAGCUUAGUUGCCAUCAUUAAGUUGGGCACUCUAAGUUGACUGCCGGUGACAAACCGGAGGAAGGUGGGGAUGACGUCAAAUCAUCAUGCCCCUUAUGAUUUGGGCUACACACGUGCUACAAUGGACAAUACAAAGGGCAGCGAAACCGCGAGGUCAAGCAAAUCCCAUAAAGUUGUUCUCAGUUCGGAUUGUAGUCUGCAACUCGACUACAUGAAGCUGGAAUCGCUAGUAAUCGUAGAUCAGCAUGCUACGGUGAAUACGUUCCCGGGUCUUGUACACACCGCCCGUCACACCACGAGAGUUUGUAACACCCGAAGCCGGUGGAGUAACCUUUUAGGAGCUAGCCGUCGAAGGUGGGACAAAUGAUUGGGGUGAAGUCGUAACAAGGUAGCCGUAUCGGAAGGUGCGGCUGGAUCACCU
This 1540-nucleotide ribosomal RNA is filed under the name Staphylococcus aureus. Its description in RNAcentral is "16S ribosomal RNA". It matches the Rfam family "Bacterial small subunit ribosomal RNA". Lineage: Bacteria; Bacillati; Bacillota; Bacilli; Caryophanales; Staphylococcaceae. The record is from RNAcentral. RNAcentral also lists the same sequence under 4 other names.